Symphalangus syndactylus (siamang) is the source of this 107-nucleotide small nuclear RNA. NCBI's taxonomy places the organism in Eukaryota, Metazoa, Chordata, Mammalia, Primates, Hylobatidae. The record is from RefSeq and is a predicted model, not a curated record.
GUGCUCACUUUGGUAGCACAUAUAUUAAAAUUAGAAUGAUACAGAGAAAAUUGGCAUGGCCCCUGUGAAAGGAUGACAUGCAAAUUCAUGAAGCAUUCCAUAUUUUU